CUGUUCUUUUGGUGAUCUCUCCAUUAUCCAUCUUCUUUGCUUGUGUAAAAGAGGUACUUGUGCCUGGCCCAGACUUACUACAACAUCUACUCAUUGAGCUUAUGUAUCUUGUAGGGAAGGCUGCAGGCUCUAGUGCUGAUCCGCCGCUUUCCAGUGUGCAUUUGUGCCACGUUUCAACUGUAAGUCCGCUAUAUGUGGUCAUGAUGUUCGUAAUGUUUGUAGGGUUUUGCUGCUUGUGUGUUUUACUUCCUGUAAGUCCACCGUAUUAUUAAUAUAUAGUCUAACUUUUCCAAAAUAACAUUUAAUAUUCAGUUCUUGUCAAGUUGAAUUAACUGAUUCAUCUUCGUAAGGUUAUAUCUAAAAAUAUUAUAUUCAGACAAACAAAUCAUUUUCAUAUUUACAUGGCAUGUGGCACUUGCAAUAAGAAGAUUUUCUUUUUUGUUUAUGGUACAAACAUCAGCCUCAUUGUCUCUUGUAUUAACAAUGCAGCAACUCAAGAUAACUAAUUAGUGAAGGAAGGUCAAAGUGCUUUUGCUUCUACCAGUUGCAGUGAAGUGCUCUUUAGUGUGUAUCUGAAACCUCGCUCACAAUUGAUGUUCACCACUUUUUUAGUUUCUCUGUAGCUUUAUAAAUGUACUCUAAUGAUCAACCGUAUAUUUUGGAUCGGCAUUCUAAGCUACCAACCAUAGUGCUCGGUAGCUAUGAAUUCCGAUCUAAACUAUAAUGAAUCAGUAUGUAAUGUAUGGCCGCAUAGAACCAUAAUGGCUAUGGUAGCCAUGCAUGUAGUGAAGGAUCUUGUAACCUGUGGCUGAACAGAACCAUAAUGGCUGCGAUGGCCAUGCACCUUUGAGUGCUUCAUUUCAUCUAGAUUUCUCUUCUCCUGUGAAAAUGUUAGUUCAUGUUUUGUGCCUACCAAUUUUAGUGGAACAAGAGGCACCGUUUGAUGAAUUACUAGGAUGUGAUGGUUAUAUGUAUAGUGUAUGAUUCGCAGACCAGAUACAAUAGAGCUUGUAUAUUAUUGUGUUAAUUAGAUCUUAGUGUUGUUGUGUAAUUACAGAUCCAUAUCUAUUAAGCGUUGAA
This 1080-nucleotide long non-coding RNA is filed under the name Sorghum bicolor (sorghum). RNAcentral describes it as "long non-coding RNA (SBIC_LNC013549)". The record is from RNAcentral. Lineage: Eukaryota; Viridiplantae; Streptophyta; Magnoliopsida; Poales; Poaceae.